RNAcentral lists this ribosomal RNA (493 nucleotides) under uncultured bacterium. RNAcentral's name for it is "bacterial SSU rRNA". It matches the Rfam family "Bacterial small subunit ribosomal RNA", at positions 107 to 598 of the family's 1533-position model. The record is from RNAcentral.
UGAGUAACACGUAUGCAACCAACCCAUAACAGGGGGAUAACCCGGAGAAAUCCGGACUAAUACCGCAUAAGACCACGAUAUCGCAUGAUAUAGAGGUCAAAUAUUUAUAGGUUAUGGACGGGCAUGCGUCUGAUUAGCUAGUUGGCGGGGUAACGGCCCACCAAGGCAUCGAUCAGUAGGGGUUCUGAGAGGAAGGUCCCCCACAUUGGAACUGAGACACGGUCCAAACUCCUACGGGAGGCAGCAGUGAGGAAUAUUGGUCAAUGGGCGAAAGCCUGAACCAGCCAUGUCGCGUGAAGGAUGAAGGUCCUAUGGAUUGUAAACUUCUUUUGCAGGAGGGUAAAGUGAGUUACGUGUAACUCAUUGCAAGUACCCUGCGAAUAAGCAUCGGCUAACUCCGUGCCAGCAGCCGCGGUAAUACGGAGGAUGCAAGCGUUAUCCGGAUUUAUUGGGUUUAAAGGGUGCGUAGGCGGACUAAUUAGUCAGCGGUGAA